RNAcentral lists this ribosomal RNA (371 nucleotides) under uncultured bacterium. RNAcentral's name for it is "bacterial SSU rRNA". It matches the Rfam family "Bacterial small subunit ribosomal RNA", at positions 30 to 390 of the family's 1533-position model. The record is from RNAcentral.
AUUGAACGCUGGCGGCAUGCUUUACACAUGCAAGUCGAACGGCAGCACGGGAGCUUGCUCCUGGUGGCGAGUGGCGAACGGGUGAGUAAUGCAUCGGAACGUACCCAGUAGUGGGGGAUAGCCCGGCGAAAGCCGGAUUAAUACCGCAUAUUUCCUGAGGGAGAAAGCGGGGGACCUUCGGGCCGUCGCGCUACUGGAGCGGCUGAUGUCGGAUUAGCUAGUUGGUGAGGUAAAGGACUCACCAAGGCGACGAUCCGUAGCUGGUCUGAGAGGAUGAUCAGCCACACUGGGACUGAGACACGGCCCAGACUCCUACGGGAGGCAGCAGUGGGGAAGUUUUAGGUACAAUAGGGGCGGAACCCUACGAUCCA